UUGCCAGCCCGCUCAGAAACUCAAAGGAAUUGACGGGGCCCGCACAAGCGGAGGAGCAUGUGGUUAAUUCGAUGAUACGCGAGGAACCCUACCUGGGCUCGAACGUAAGAUGACUGUAGGUGAAAGCUUACAUCUCUUCGGAGCAUUUUACGAGGUGCUGCAUGGUUGUCGUCAGCUCGUGCCGUGAGGUGUCGGGUUAAGUCCCAUAACGAGCGCAACCCCUACCUUUAGUUGCCAUCAGGUAAUGCUGGGGACUCUAAAGGAACUGCCUACGCAAGUAGUGAGGAAGGCGGGGAUGACGUCAAAUCAGCACGGCCCUUACGUCCAGGGCUACACACGUGCUACAAUGGCCGAUACAGAGGGCAGCUACCUGGUGACAGGAUGCAAAUCUCCAAAGUCGGUCUCAGUUCGGAUCGGAGUCUGCAACCCGACUCCGUGAAGUUGGAUUCGCUAGUAAUCGCGCAUCAGCCAUGGCGCGGUGAAUACGUUCCCGGGCCUU
This 499-nucleotide ribosomal RNA is filed under the name uncultured Sphingobacteriales bacterium. RNAcentral's name for it is "bacterial SSU rRNA". It matches the Rfam family "Bacterial small subunit ribosomal RNA", at positions 880 to 1382 of the family's 1533-position model. The record is from RNAcentral. Lineage: Bacteria; Pseudomonadati; Bacteroidota; Sphingobacteriia; Sphingobacteriales.